Molecule: long non-coding RNA, 2617 nt
Organism: Cyprinus carpio carpio
Lineage: Eukaryota; Metazoa; Chordata; Actinopteri; Cypriniformes; Cyprinidae
Source: Ensembl
CAGGCGACCGCGUUAAUUUUACAUCAGAAUGAAUGCGCUACCUACAGGUGAUUUACGAACAUUUUAAAUUAGCCACCAAGCGCGACGCUACUCCGCAUUGGAUUGUGGGAAAUAGUGCUUCAGCGAGUGUACACUGUACAUCGGUUGUACACUCGAAAUCAGAAUGAUUUGUGGGUAAAAAGUAGUGAACGAAUCAGUACCGCCGCUCCCCCCAAAAAACCCUUGCGCCAUUCCCCCAUCCGCGAUCGCGAACGCUCGCACCUCAUGUUUGCGGCUUAAUGUUCAUAAUUGAUGACUGGACAUCUAUGCCCGGUAAAAGACAUCAGCAAUCCGGCGCAGAGAAAAGAAAACGAAAAAAAAAAAGGCAUAAAGUUGGGUUGACGUUGGACGUUCGAUAUUCACAAAUUUAGGGACCGUCUCUAAAGUUACAUGCGAUAUUGGUAUACACUUUUCUAACAUCAAUAGCAUUUGAGGAGAAUGACUUACAGUCAUAAAAACAACUGUAAUUGUUCAUCUCGGUGUCAACUAUAAUGCACACCUUUUACAUUUUUGAAAUUUAUUAAAAUAAACUGUAAAUCAUAUGUAAAUUAUGCUACUUUUUCACAACCGAAUGGGCUCAAACGCAAAUUUGAAGCUCAAUAGCAUUUGAGGAGAAAGACACCACCAACGCAUCUAAUAUUCUCUCUGACUUACCAGGUUCCCUUACGGAAAUUAGCCAUGGUUUUAACAAUAACACCAAAAAUCAUCGUUCUUGUAGCCAUGGUAACUGCAAAUUAACCAUGGUUUUGUUACUUCAAAUAAUAAUUUACAAAGAAGUAUUAAUAUACUAUAUAUAAUUUUUUGUUUGUUUGUUUCUUCUUCUUGUUGUUGUUAUACUAUGGGAUUUCUACAACAGUAAAAGAACCAAAAAACCAGAAGCCAUUGAACAAAUAAAUAUAACAAGCAAUAGGGUAAAAAAUGACGUUUUCUUUCUCCCGUUCUCUCUCACAGAUGCACUCGCGCACACUAGUCAUUAGCGCUGCCCCGCGAAUUUAUCAGUAAAAUAGUUUCGCAGCUGAAAAGCUACAUGACAUUUCUCAUGAGCGAGGUUCUUAAAGCAAUUCAACAGAUUCCGUAUUAGUAGACGCUGCUGUUGAACACUGCUGAGAGCUACACGCGCACUGCUACACGCGCAUAAUCUCUCUCUCUCUCUCUCUCUCUCUCUCUCUCUCUCGCUCUCCCUCUCUCUCUCUCGCUCUCUCCCUCUCUCUCUCUCUCUCUCUCUCUCUCUCUAAUAAAUGCAUUAUUUGCCUGGCCCAAGCCUCUGAUAUUAGCUCUAAAACGACGUUUUGGAAUUUGCAACGGAAGGUUUAUCUUGAAAUAAAUCAUCUGAACAAUAUCUUGAGGUGUGGUUGUGACACCAGGCCGUUAAAAUUAUUAGAGAAAUAAUGCAUUUUUUCAGGGAAAAUGUUUAGUUAAUACGUAAUAUGUGUUCCCUAUUACAGAAAGUGUUACCAAAAUUCAUUCAUCUUCAGAACACAAAUUAAGAUAUUUUUAAUCAAAUCUGAUUUCUGCCCCCAAUUAAAAGUCUAUUCACCAAAACUCAGAUGCUUAAAAUUAAUCCAAGUCUUCUGAAGAGAUAUGGUCACUUCAUAUGAUGAAAAGGUUUAAAUUAUGCUUUUAUUCACAUAUAAACACUGAUUAUCAAACAUAAAGCUCAACCAUUCUUGACUGACGCAUGAGGACAAAAUCCUUGGUUCUUGCAAAAGCUGAAAUGUGCUUGUGUAACAGGCUAGAAUUAACCAUAUUGUUUCUUGCACAUCAAGCAAGCAUGCUUGAGCUUCUGUGAACAAAAUGUUGUAAACACUGUUUGUUGUUUUUUUUAUUUUAAUUUUUUUUUUAUCUCUUUUUAAGUCUUAAGUGUCAUAGAUUUAGGUGAAUGGGCUUUUUGAUGGAGCAACAGAUAUCCUGAUGUUUGCUUGUGUCAUGUUCAAACUGUUGUACUUUUUCCAGGCUAAAAAAAUGAUUAGGCCUAUAAAGCCUAUUUUUGCCAACAGAAAAUGUGUGAAUGUACAAACCUAAAUGUUAAUAGUUUGAUACAAGUUAGUGCUACUGUACAGCAUAAGCUGUUGACUUUACCUUCAGGAAGUGUAGUUGGAGAAGUGAUAUCACCUGCAAAACAAUGUUAUUUCACUUUAAUGCACAUACUAGGGCAAAAAAAAAGAUAUUUAGUCAUUUAUAGUUAGUCACUUGAUAUUACUAUGUGCUAAACUGAGUGUACUGAAGAUUAAACACUUAUAAUAGGCAUGUUUAGAAAGACCAUGUUGUCAGUCAAAUUAUUAUAUUACUUACAAGAGCACGGUUCCUUUUUGUUGAUCUGCAAAACAAAUAAAAAUCCAUAAUGAAAGGGUAUGAGUGCAAAGCAUUGAAAGUUAAGUUAUGCUAUUAAAUUAAUUUGACGGCCAUAAAACCUAAAACGCAUAAACAAUUUUACACUUACGCCGGCAGAGGGGCAGAUGAGCAGGAAUUCCAGUUUUUCAUGGCAGGUCUGUAAGAUGGCUGUGUUUGCUGUUGCAUUUACAAGUGGGAGCAUGCACUCCGUUUUUCCAUCAGCAUGAGAAAUUCCUGCCACAAUUCC